Pangasianodon hypophthalmus (striped catfish) is the source of this 2199-nucleotide RNA transcript. It is a transcript of the gene named desmin a, with no coding region annotated. The record is from RefSeq and is a predicted model, not a curated record. The transcript has 10 exons. Lineage: Eukaryota; Metazoa; Chordata; Actinopteri; Siluriformes; Pangasiidae.
CACUGAUCUUCAUUCUAUCCAAGUCUGUCAACCUUGUUACUUUCUUUCCAGCACACACCCCAACCCAUAACUUCACAACCAUGAGCAAGACCUACUCCUCGUCUGCCGAGACGGCCUCUUCCUACCGUCGAACCUUCGGUUCAGGUCUGGGCUCAACCAUGUCCAGCUCUCUGUUUGGCCGUGGCUCUUCUGGCUCUUCCCGUGUUUCUUCCAGAGUGUAUGAGGUGACCAAGAGCUCCAGUGCCUCCCCUAUUUACUCAAGCCACCGCUCCGGAGCAUCCUCCAUCGGCUUUGGUGGUGGAGCGGUGACACGCUCCUACGCGGGUAUGGGUGAGAAGCUGGACUUCAGCCUAGCUGAUGCCAUGAACCAGGAUUUCCUGCACACACGCACCAAUGAGAAGGCCGAGCUACAGCACCUGAAUGACCGCUUCGCCAGUUACAUUGAGAAGGUGCGCUUCCUCGAGCAGCAGAACCAGGCCCUGUCGGUAGAGAUUGAACGCCUGAGGGGCCGCGAGCCCACACGCAUUGCUGAGAUGUACGAGGAGGAGAUGAGAGAGCUGCGCAGGCAGGUGGAUGCUCUGACCAACCAGAGAGCUCGCGUAGAGGUGGAGCGCGACAACCUGGCUGACGACCUACAGAAACUCAAGCUCAGACUUCAAGAGGAGAUCCACCAGAAAGAAGAGGCUGAGAAUAACCUCUCUGCUUUCAGAGCUGAUGUUGAUGCUGCCACUCUCGCCAGGCUGGACUUGGAGAGACGCAUUGAGAGCCUUCAUGAGGAGAUUGCCUUCCUCAAGAAGAUCCAUGAGGAGGAGAUCCGUGAGCUGCAGAACCAGAUGCAGGAUACUCAGGUCCAGAUCCAAAUGGACAUGUCCAAGCCCGACCUGACCGCUGCUCUGAGGGACAUCCGCAGCCAGUAUGAGGCCAUCGCAGCCAAGAACAUUUCAGAAGCUGAGGAGUGGUACAAGUCCAAGGUAUCAGAUCUGAACCAAGCUGUGAACAAGAACAACGAUGCAUUGAGACAGGCCAAGCAGGAGACUAUGGAGUUCCGCCACCAAAUCCAGUCCUACACCUGCGAGAUCGAUUCCCUCAAGGGCACUAAUGAGUCUCUGAUAAGGCAGAUGAGGGAGAUGGAAGAAAGGAUGGGCCGCGAGGCUAGUGGUUACCAGGACACCAUCGCUCGUCUGGACGCUGAGAUUGCCAAAAUGAAAGAUGACAUGGCUCGUCACCUUCGCGAGUACCAGGAUCUCCUUAAUGUCAAGAUGGCCCUGGAUGUGGAAAUCGCCACCUACAGGAAGCUGCUGGAGGGAGAGGAGAGCAGGAUCUCUCUGCCUCCGCAGACAUAUUCCUCCUUGAGCUUCAGAGGUGAUGCCAGAGAGACCAGCCAAGAGCAGUUCUCACAGCUACGUCCCUCUGAGGUCCACUCCAAGAAAACAGUUCUGAUCAAGACCAUAGAGACCCGUGACGGAGAGGUGACACACGCACAUUCACACACAUCUCUCUAAGUCUAAAACAUCUCGUGAGGCAAUGAGUGCCAUGAGUGCCAUGAGCGCCAUGAGCACUCAGUGUGUUGUCAGUGAAUCCACACAGCACCAGCAGGACAUCAUGUAAAACAGAGAAGAAAGGCAAGAUACAAAGAAAACAGCAACAGAAUUUGAUCCAAUCUGAAACUAGACAUUUCCAAGCCACAUAGGCCCUCUGUUUUUUUCUUUGUUUGUUUUUUUAUAUCCUCAGUGAUGCUAUGACCCACAAUUCCAGGCAGCUAUGGAGGAAUAAAGGAGACAAAGCUGAAAGUGUGCAAAGAAUGAAGAUGAAACUGUGGUAGUCAUUUGUUAAAAAGAAUGUCAAUAUUCAACUGCUAAAUCUCUGAAUUUUGUAUGCAAGUGUAUGUGUGUGCUUGUGAGUAAGUGGGUCAAACGUGCAUCAUGAUUUACCGCAUACCACCAUUUGAGGCCUGCUAAUUGAUUUUGUGGUUUCAUUAAAAUGAAACUUGAAACACAAAGCAUCUGACAUACUGCAUGAUAUGAUCAAAUGUCAAUGUCUUAGCAACAUGAGACAAUGUUGAUGGCUCACAGAUUUAAGAAGGGGAACUACAAUAAAAUCCUGUUACAUAAUAUAAAAUUUGGUUUGUUAGAAUUGUAAAAAAAAAAAUCAUUCCUUGGUGCUUACUGGAUUAAACUAGUGUUUACUGGUGGCCUAAUA